UACGUAGGUGGCAAGCGUUGUCCGGAUUUACUGGGCGUAAAGAGCGCGCAGGCGGUCGUUCAAGUCGCGUGUGAAAGCCCCCGGCUCAACUGGGGAGGGUCACGCGAUACUGAUCGACUCGAAGGCAGGAGAGGGUAGUGGAAUUCCCGGUGUAGUGGUGAAAUGCGUAGAUAUCAGGAAGAACACCCGUGGCGAAGGCGGCUCUCUGGGACGGUACUGACGCUGAGACGCGAAAGCGUGGGGAGCAAACAGG
Molecule: ribosomal RNA, 253 nt
Filed under: uncultured bacterium
Lineage: Bacteria
Description: partial 16S ribosomal RNA
Rfam family: Bacterial small subunit ribosomal RNA
Source: RNAcentral